Molecule: ribosomal RNA, 312 nt
Filed under: uncultured bacterium
Lineage: Bacteria
Description: bacterial SSU rRNA
Rfam family: Bacterial small subunit ribosomal RNA
Source: RNAcentral
AUUGAACGCUGGCGGCAUGCCUUACACAUGCAAGUCGAACGGCAGCACGGGAGCAAUCCUGGUGGCGAGUGGCGAACGGGUGAGUAAUAUAUCGGAACGUGCCCAGUCGUGGGGAUAACGUAGCGAAAGCUACGCUAAUACCGCAUACGAUCUAUGGAUGAAAGCGGGGGAUCGCAAGACCUCGCGCGAUUGGAGCGGCCGAUAUCAGAUUAGGUAGUUGGUGAGGUAAAGGCUCACCAAAGCCGACGAUCUGUAGCUGGUCUGAGAGGACGACCAGCCACACUGGGACUGAGACACGGCCCAGACUCCUAC